UACAGAGGUCUCAAGCGUUGUUCGGAUUCAUUGGGCGUAAAGGGCGCGUAGGCGGGAUGGCAAGUCAGUCGUGAAAUCUCUCGGCUCAACCGAGAAACGUCGGCUGAUACUGCCGUUCUUGAGGGAUGCAGAGGAGACUGGAAUUCCCGGUGUAGCGGUGAAAUGUGUAGAGAUCGGGAGGAACACCGGUGGCGAAGGCGGGUCUCUGGGCAUUUCCUGACGCUGAGGCGCGAAAGCGUGGGGAGCAAACGGG
RNAcentral lists this ribosomal RNA (253 nucleotides) under uncultured bacterium. Its description in RNAcentral is "partial 16S ribosomal RNA". It matches the Rfam family "Bacterial small subunit ribosomal RNA", at positions 524 to 776 of the family's 1533-position model. The record is from RNAcentral.